Non-coding RNA from Paramuricea clavata, 228 nucleotides. NCBI's taxonomy places the organism in Eukaryota, Metazoa, Cnidaria, Anthozoa, Malacalcyonacea, Plexauridae. The record is from the annotation of a GenBank genome assembly.
UAGUGAAUCUCAUGCAAUACUGAUCGUAAUCAUAGCCAACAGAAGAAGCCUCUGGGGGAGGAAAGCUAUCUAUCUAUCUGGGUAUUUGAUUGACUGAUAUAUUCAUAGUAUUUACCCAUAUAUUUACCUUGAAAAUUGUACACAAAGUAACGUCGCUUGCAACCGGUGAACUGUAACUUGCAACAAAGAUGAACGGUCGCUCCUAAAAACAUUGCCUAUUGGCGUGAC